RNAcentral lists this transfer RNA (47 nucleotides) under Diplasiolejeunea involuta. RNAcentral's name for it is "partial tRNA-Phe". The record is from RNAcentral. Lineage: Eukaryota; Viridiplantae; Streptophyta; Jungermanniopsida; Porellales; Lejeuneaceae.
GCCGGGAUAGCUCAGUUCGUAGAGCAGGGGACUGAAAGUCCUCGUGU